UAUCUUCAACAGUUUUGAAGUAUAGCACUUUGAAAUGUCUCCAAUUAUAAACCAAUGGGGAUGUUUACAAUUUCAAAAAUUCAUAAAAAAAUUCAAAAAUCAAUAUUUUCCAGUUUUUUGAACAAACUUGGUAGACCUUAGCCCAAAGAUGUUCCACAACAAAUAUCAAGUCAUUCUGGCUGAUGGUUUCGGAGAAGAUUCUU
This is a long non-coding RNA of Sphaeramia orbicularis (orbiculate cardinalfish), 203 nucleotides long. RefSeq lists it as uncharacterized. NCBI's taxonomy places the organism in Eukaryota, Metazoa, Chordata, Actinopteri, Kurtiformes, Apogonidae. The record is from RefSeq and is a predicted model, not a curated record. The transcript has 2 exons.